Non-coding RNA from Beta vulgaris subsp. vulgaris (sugar beet), 72 nucleotides. Lineage: Eukaryota; Viridiplantae; Streptophyta; Magnoliopsida; Caryophyllales; Amaranthaceae. The record is from Rfam.
AGAGUGGUGGUGUAGCGGUUAGCAUACCUGGCAUGUUAUCAGGAGACGCAGGUUCAAUUCCUGUCUGCUCAA